UACGUAGGCAGCAAGCGUUGUUCGGAGUUACUGGGCGUAAAGGGUGUGUAGGCGGUUGCUUAAGUUUGGUGUGAAAUCUCCCGGCUCAACUGGGAGGGUGCGCCGAAUACUGAGUGACUCGAGUGCGGGAGAGGAAAGUGGAAUUCCUGGUGUAGCGGUGAAAUGCGUAGAUAUCAGGAGGAACACCGGUGGUGUAAACGGCUUUCUGGACCGUAACUGACGCUGAAACACGAAAGCGUGGGGAGCAAACAGG
This 253-nucleotide ribosomal RNA is filed under the name uncultured bacterium. RNAcentral describes it as "partial 16S ribosomal RNA". It matches the Rfam family "Bacterial small subunit ribosomal RNA", at positions 524 to 776 of the family's 1533-position model. The record is from RNAcentral.